Molecule: ribosomal RNA, 498 nt
Filed under: uncultured bacterium
Lineage: Bacteria
Description: partial 16S ribosomal RNA
Rfam family: Bacterial small subunit ribosomal RNA
Source: RNAcentral
AUUGAACGCUGGCGGCAUGCCUUACACAUGCAAGUCGAACGGUAACAGGUCUUCGGACGCUGACGAGUGGCGAACGGGUGAGUAAUACAUCGGAACGUGCCCAGUCGUGGGGGAUAACUACUCGAAAGAGUAGCUAAUACCGCAUACGAUCUGAGGAUGAAAGCGGGGGACCUUCGGGCCUCGCGCGAUCGGAGCGGCCGAUGGCAGAUUAGGUAGUUGGUGGGAUAAAAGCUUACCAAGCCGACGAUCUGUAGCUGGUCUGAGAGGACGACCAGCCACACUGGGACUGAGACACGGCCCAGACUCCUACGGGAGGCAGCAGUGGGGAAUUUUGGACAAUGGGCGGAAGCCUGAUCCAGCAAUGCCGCGUGCAGGAUGAAGGCCUUCGGGUUGUAAACUGCUUUUGUACGGAGCGAAAAAGUCUCCUCUAAUACAGGAGGCCCAUGACGGUACCGUAAGAAUAAACACCGGCUAACUACGUGCCAGCCGCCGCCGUAA